CGCCACCUUGUUCCUCCCCACACACACAGCGUUUGGCUCUCAGUUUUCAGAUGAGUUGAGCAUUGUGAUGAGGCUGAGGCUAGGGGGACUGUGGGUGGAGGAGAGGAGCCUGCUAGCGGUACUGUCAGAGGAAGGGGAGGAGUUGCUACAGCUGAGAUUGGGACCUGGACUACUCACCUUCAUCAGUACCUGGAGCCGCCACUACGAGUUCCCAGCAGGCCUCCUGUGGGAUGGCGAGUGGCACUGGCUGGCCCUGUCUGUCGCGCUGUCCAGACUGGAGGUGUAUGCUGACUGUAGCCUGCUGGAGAGUAUACCCUGGAGGAACUACCCCGGCCUGGAGGUCUCCACCCAGGGUCUCAUCCUGCUGGGAGGGGCCACCCAGCCCCACCACACACCCUUUACCGGCACCAUACAACAGAUGACCUUCAUAAUGGGUGAUCCUACAGCAGCCAAACAGCACUGUCAAGACUACAACUCCACCUGCAUCCCUCACACAGACAAACAGGAGAAAGUGAUUUUAGCUACUGAGAAGGUGCUUGGUCGAGUUGCGACCAGGGCAACAUUCAGAGAAGAGUCUCAUGGACCCAGGCUGAGAGAUCAGACUGCAGAGCAGGACACAGCCAAGAACACUAACCUAUCAGCACAGUCAUUGCCAUCUGUAAGAGCUCAGUCAGUGCCAGAGACACAGAGAAAGACAAGGAUAAUACCUGAAACAGACAAAUUAAAGCUCACUCAGAAGAUAGGAUGGUUGAAUGAAACUUCCACACUGCAGGAUGAUAAAGCAGCAAAGAUCACUAGAAACGGAACAGUAUAUUCACAAACCGCUGGAUCUCUUCAUCAGCCAAACCAAACCAAUACAGCCAGAAAUGUCUCUGGCAUGAAAGGUGUAGUAGUACCAUCUCAGACAGUGGAGACAGCCAUUCUCAGUCCCACUGCAUGGUCAGAAAACCCCACUGAACCAGCCCUGCUGAUCCAGGAGUCAGACAGUGAUGGAGAAUCAAUAGGCUCAGGGAGAAAUACAUCAGUGAGGUUAGAUGAUUUACAGAUCCCACCUGAACCCAAACAGGGCUUUGGGCCUACAAGACAAACAUGGUCCUUAGAACACACCAUAAAACCCAACCUUUUGGAAUUCAAGAAAAUAGAUGCGGAGGAGCUACUGAGGCAGGCUGUGAUUCCUCUGCCUCCAGUGCUACCUCCAAAUAAUAGCACUGUCACAGGGAGAAAGACAGCACUGGAGGCAGAGGAGCCUCUGGGACAAUCUCCAACACAUCAAAACACCACUGAUAUCACUUCCACAUCAACAGGUGACAAAGCUUCAAAGAGACAAAGGGGCCAAAAGACUGUGACAAAGACUUUGACAGAUUCUGGACAAGUCAUGGAGAAGGGGGAUACAGUUUUAUCCCAGGAGCCACCCACAGAGGAUCGAGAGACAGACACAGAAACAAAGACAGAGUUUGAGUCAGCAGAAGAGAUGGACACAGAAACAGAAAUGGAAGAAGUUGAUGAGGACAAUGAUAAGGAAUCAGAGACAGAGGAAACAGAUGUAGGCGACAGCAAGUUGGCACACGACAUCACUCAAGUCAACACAAGGCAGUUUAAAAAUAAUGGGGGAGCCGUCAAAACUGAUGUUCUAACUGAGCUCAUGCCCCCGGAGCCGAGAGGAUUAGAGUGGGAACUGCCGCCUACCCCUCUGCCUCCUGCCAGUGUGCCAGCCAAUCACCAAUCAAGACACGCACUCAAAGAGCGAGGGACAGCCUAUAGACCGGGGCUUCGAGUGCAACAGGGACUUCAGGGCCCACCUGGUUUGACAGGGCCACCUGGACCAAAAGGGGAUAAAGUAUGUGUUAACUUUUUCACACAAUAUCUACUGAAUCUAAACUACUCAUAGUGACACACAUGAUAAUUCUGUUGCCCAUUAUUAUUGGGUGCUCAGUAUUAUUUCUAGAGUGUGCUGUGUGGAUUCCUAUUGACAUACAGGUCUGCAUGCAGAUGUUUCCAUAUUGUGGAAUUUCUUAAAACACUUAAGUGUGUAUUGUCUCCUGACAGGGCUACGCUGGCGGGAUGGGCCGGACUGGACGCACAGGUUACCGAGGCCCCAUUGGUCCACCAGGGAUGCCCGCCAUCGUAGUGUUCAAGAGCUCUGAGGAAGAGUGGGAGACCUUCAAGG
Molecule: long non-coding RNA, 2167 nt
Organism: Oncorhynchus tshawytscha (Chinook salmon)
Lineage: Eukaryota; Metazoa; Chordata; Actinopteri; Salmoniformes; Salmonidae
Source: Ensembl